UACAGAGGGUGCGAGCGUUAAUCGGAGUUACUGGGCGUAAAGGGCGCGUAGGCGGUUAGUUAAGAUAGAUGUGAAAGCCCUGGGCUUAACCUAGGAACGGCAUCUGUAACUGACUAGCUGGAGUAUUGUAGAGGGUAGUGGAAUUUCCGGUGUAGCGGUGAGAUGCGUAGAGAUCGGAAGGAACACCAGUGGCGAAGGCGGCUACCUGGACAAAUACUGACGCUGAGGCGCGAGAGCGUGGGGAGCAAACAGG
RNAcentral lists this ribosomal RNA (253 nucleotides) under uncultured bacterium. Its description in RNAcentral is "partial 16S ribosomal RNA". It matches the Rfam family "Bacterial small subunit ribosomal RNA", at positions 524 to 776 of the family's 1533-position model. The record is from RNAcentral.